AGAGUUUGAUCCUGGCUCAGGAUGAACGCUGGCGGCGUGCUUAACACAUGCAAGUCGAACGGAAAGGCCUGUACUUGUACAGGUACUCGAGUGGCGAACGGGUGAGUAACACGUGGGUGAUCUGCCCUGCACUAUGGGAUAAGCUUGGGAAACUGGGUCUAAUACCAUAUAGGACCACUUCUUGGAUGUUGUGGUGGAAAGCUUUUGCGGUGUGGGAUGAGCCUGCGGCCUAUCAGCUUGUUGGUGGGGUAAUGGCCUACCAAGGCGGCGACGGGUAUCCGGCCUGAGAGGGUGUACGGACACAUUGGGACUGAGAUACGGCCCAGACUCCUACGGGAGGCAGCAGUGGGGAAUAUUGCACAAUGGGCGCAAGCCUGAUGCAGCGACGCCGCGUGGGGGAUGACGGCCUUCGGGUUGUAAACUCCUUUCGCUAUCGACGAAGCCACCUUUGGUGGUGACGGUAGGUAGAUAAGAAGCACCGGCUAACUACGUG
This 493-nucleotide ribosomal RNA is filed under the name uncultured Corynebacterium sp. RNAcentral describes it as "bacterial SSU rRNA". It matches the Rfam family "Bacterial small subunit ribosomal RNA", at positions 8 to 507 of the family's 1533-position model. The record is from RNAcentral. Lineage: Bacteria; Bacillati; Actinomycetota; Actinomycetes; Mycobacteriales; Corynebacteriaceae.